AAGCUAUAUAAAUGGACACUGAGCCCUCCCCCCUCUCAUCACAUCUCGAUCCAACGCCAUGGAGGCCAAGGUCGCAGCAAUAGCUUUGGUCUUGCUCUUUCUUACCUUGGGUGGAGAGGCCGAGUUGUGCAAGCAGCGUAGCCGAACUUUCAAAGGGCGGUGCACCCACAACGACAAUUGUUUUGCCAUCUGCCUCACUGAGAACUUCACCGGAGGGUAUUGCCACGGCGUUGUAGAACGUCACUGCAUGUGUACUAAGAAGUGUGGCGAGCCGCCGGAAGAGCCAGAGGAGCCGCCGCUACCGGAAAUGAUGAUCUGACUGAAGUGUGCCUGAGAUUUGAGUUGAUGACAAUGAAAUUAUCUCUCUACCAAAACCUGGUCAGAGAGUGAGAAAUGAAAUAAAGUAAACCAUAUUAUAUGA
Triticum aestivum (bread wheat) is the source of this 421-nucleotide long non-coding RNA. RefSeq lists it as uncharacterized. The transcript has 2 exons. Lineage: Eukaryota; Viridiplantae; Streptophyta; Magnoliopsida; Poales; Poaceae. The record is from RefSeq and is a predicted model, not a curated record.